CCUACGGGAGGCAGCAGUGGGGAAUAUUGGACAAUGGGCGCAAGCCUGAUCCAGCCAUGCCGCGUGAGUGAUGGAGGCCUUAGGGUUGUAAAGCUCUUUCACCGAUGAAGAUAAUGACGGUAGUCGGAGAAGAAGCCCCGGCUAACUACGUGCCAGCAGCCGCGGUAAU
RNAcentral lists this ribosomal RNA (169 nucleotides) under uncultured bacterium. RNAcentral's name for it is "partial 16S ribosomal RNA". It matches the Rfam family "Bacterial small subunit ribosomal RNA", at positions 338 to 524 of the family's 1533-position model. The record is from RNAcentral.